UUGAGAUCCUCAGAGAAUUAAAUCUGCUGCUUGUCUACAGAAUAGAUAAUGGCAGGGCACGCUUCCCACAUCACUGCCUCCUGCCAAUGCGGCUCCGUCCUGACCUGGCUACCAUUCAUGGCUGGACAGAGUAGAGUUCAUUCUCUGUAUCCCAUUCAUAGUUGCU
RNAcentral lists this small RNA (166 nucleotides) under Anser brachyrhynchus (Pink-footed goose). Its description in RNAcentral is "TUC338 (ENSABRG00000002206.1)". Lineage: Eukaryota; Metazoa; Chordata; Aves; Anseriformes; Anatidae. The record is from RNAcentral.